UUAAGCCAUGCAUGUCUAAGUCCUGGCUCUUUGACACGGCGAAACUGCGGAUGGCUCAUUAAAUCGUACGUGAUCGACGGGACCGCACAACGGCGAACUUGAGAGAGCCCGAAACCGUCAGGCCACGGUAAUCCGCUUCGCUAGACGUGGAUAACUGUGGCAAUUCUAGAGCUAAUACAUGCAACCGGAAGCUCCGACCCCAAGUGGCGUUUUUUUGCGUCGCGUGCGGGGAAGAGCGCUUUUAUUAGACCAAGACCAGCCGGUCCCGGCCAUCGGGGUCCCGUUCGCGGUGCGCCUUGUUGGUCGGCCGAGCCCUCGCUGGUGACUCUAGGUAACUUUGGGCUGAUCGCACGGCCUCUGGCCGGCGACGGGUCCCCUGAGCGUACGCCCUAUCAACCGACGAUGGUAGGCGCCCUGCCUACCAUGGUGAUAACGGGUAACGGGGAAUCUGGGUUCGAUUCCGGAGAGGGAGCAUGAGAAACGGCUACCACAUCCAAGGAAGGCAGCAGGCGCGCAAAUUACCCACUGCCGACACGGCGAGGUAGUGACGAGAAAUAACGAUACGGGACUCUCUCGAGGCCCCGUAAUUGGAAUGAGCACAUCCCAAACCCAUAGACGAGGAUCUAUUGGAGGGCAAGUCUGGUGCCAGCAGCCGCGGUAAUUCCAGCUCCAAUGGCGUAUAUUAAUGUUGUUGCAGUUAAAAAGCUCGUAGUUGGAUCUCGGGUCCGGGCUGGCGGUCCCGUUCGCGCGGGUACUGCCUGUUCCCGACCUCCCGGCCGGCACGUCCCUCGGUGCUCUUCAUUGAGUGCCUUGGGUGGCCGGCGCGUUUACUUUGAAAAAAUUAGAGUGUUCAAAGCAGGCCGUGGCGCCUGGAUAGUGUUGCAUGGAAUAAUGGAAUAGGACCUCGGACUCUAUUCUGCUGGUUUCUUCGGAUCGCGAGGUAAUGAUCGAUAGGGACGGCCGGGGGCAUCAGUAUUGCGGUGUUAGAGGUGAAAUUCUUGGAUCGCCGCAAGACUACCGGUAGCGAAAGCGUUUGCCAAGAAUGUUUUCGUUGAUCAAGAGCGAAAGUCGGAGG
Molecule: ribosomal RNA, 1075 nt
Filed under: Myxicola sp. VR-2004
Lineage: Eukaryota; Metazoa; Annelida; Polychaeta; Sabellida; Sabellidae
Description: bacterial SSU rRNA
Rfam family: Eukaryotic small subunit ribosomal RNA
Source: RNAcentral